Molecule: unclassified non-coding RNA, 307 nt
Filed under: plant metagenome
Description: partial contains 5.8S ribosomal RNA, internal transcribed spacer 2, and large subunit ribosomal RNA
Rfam family: 5.8S ribosomal RNA (bases 1-105)
Source: RNAcentral
GAAAUGCGAUAAGUAGUGUGAAUUGCAGAAUUCAGUGAAUCAUCGAAUCUUUGAACGCACAUUGCGCCCCUCGGUAUUCCGUGGGGCAUGCCUGUUCGAGCGUCAUCUACACCCUCAAGCUCUGCUUGGUGUUGGGCGUCUGUCCCGCCUCCGCGCGCGGACUCGCCCCAAAUGCAUUGGCAGCGGUUCCUUGCCCCCCUCUUUGCGCAGCACAUUGCCAUUCGAGGCGGCGGCGGCCCGCGUCCAACAAGCUCAACCCCCCCGUCUUUGACCUCGGAUCAGGUAGGGAUACCCGCUGAACUUAAGC